RNAcentral lists this ribosomal RNA (786 nucleotides) under uncultured bacterium. Its description in RNAcentral is "bacterial SSU rRNA". It matches the Rfam family "Bacterial small subunit ribosomal RNA", at positions 556 to 1342 of the family's 1533-position model. The record is from RNAcentral.
GGGCGUAAAGCGAGCGCAGGCGGUUUCUUAAGUCUGAUGUGAAAGCCUUCGGCUCAACCGAAGAAGUGCAUCGGAAACUGGGAAACUUGAGUGCAGAAGAGGACAGUGGAACUCCAUGUGUAGCGGUGAAAUGCGUAGAUAUAUGGAAGAACACCAGUGGCGAAGGCGGCUGUCUGGUCUGUAACUGACGCUGAGGCUCGAAAGCAUGGGUAGCAAACAGGAUUAGAUACCCUGGUAGUCCAUGCCGUAAACGAUGAGUGCUAGGUGUUGGAGGGUUUCCGCCCUUCAGUGCCGCAGCUAACGCAUUAAGCACUCCGCCUGGGGAGUACGACCGCAAGGUUGAAACUCAAAGGAAUUGACGGGGGCCCGCACAAGCGGUGGAGCAUGUGGUUUAAUUCGAAGCAACGCGAAGAACCUUACCAGGUCUUGACAUCCUUUGACCACUCUAGAGAUAGAGCUUUCCCUUCGGGGACAAAGUGACAGGUGGUGCAUGGUUGUCGUCAGCUCGUGUCGUGAGAUGUUGGGUUAAGUCCCGCAACGAGCGCAACCCUUAUUACUAGUUGCCAGCAUUUAGUUGGGCACUCUAGUGAGACUGCCGGUGACAAACCGGAGGAAGGUGGGGACGACGUCAAAUCAUCAUGCCCCUUAUGACCUGGGCUACACACGUGCUACAAUGGAUGGUACAACGAGUUGCGAGACCGCGAGGUUUAGCUAAUCUCUUAAAACCAUUCUCAGUUCGGAUUGUAGGCUGCAACUCGCCUACAUGAAGCCGGAAUCGCUAGUAAU